AACGCACCUUGCACCCUUUGGCAUUCCGAAGGGUAUGCUCGUUUGAGUGUCAUUGUACUCUCACACUUCUCAUCCUUUGGAUUUGGAGCGGUGGACUUGGGUGUUGCCGCUUUACGGUGGCUCACCUCUAAUGCAUUCGUGCAACUCUUGGUUGGACAUAGUACGGCGUGAUAAGUGUCUUCGCCGGCACCUCGCAAGAGGGUGGCUGAUUGAGAGCUCUGUGCUUUCAAACCGUCCUUGGACAAUGACUGACAACUUGACCUCAAAUCGAGUAGGACUACCCGCUGAACUUAA
Molecule: unclassified non-coding RNA, 294 nt
Filed under: uncultured Sebacinaceae
Lineage: Eukaryota; Fungi; Basidiomycota; Agaricomycetes; Sebacinales; Sebacinaceae
Description: sequence contains ITS2
Source: RNAcentral